AAAAAAAAGGGUCCCCUAGAAGCUCAUUGAAAAGAAGACAGGGUUAGAUUAAAUAAAAAAAAAAAAAAAAGGGCAUGUAGGACGUGGAAUAAGCACAGUGGGGGUAGAUGAGUGAGAAACAGGAAAUUAGAAAAAUAUUAUGUAGAAAUGCACAAGGAUGUUGUAUGUAGAAAUGUACGAGGAUGUUGUAACAAAGGUCCGUGUUAUGUAUGACAGAUGGGAGUUGGUUAUUAAAGCCUCUAUUUAUUAUAAGGCAGUACAGAAAUGAAUUAUUGGCCGCGGAAAGUUAAAACUAGAAAGGAAAAAAUAACCCAUUAUAUCCUAUACUUGCUCUCCCACCUUUCCUACACCAUCCACAUCCACAGCCCCCACCUUCUCCUCCGCACCUCCAGCACCCACCGCACCAGAAUUAAAAGAUGAUCCCUCGGGGUCUGGUUUCUUUGAAGAAUAUCAUUAUGAUCCCUCAUUACACACUGAUCCGGGGGAUGACAAAAGUAACGUAAUGGGUGCGGUGGGUGGGUUUCACGAUCCUAGAACCUCCAUUUCACAACGCACUAGAAGUCAAACCCUAUUCCAUCAGCCCCCUAAUCAAAACACCACCUUUCAAUCCCCCUUAAAGUCCCCCAAACCCCCAGGCCCCUUAUUCGAAUGCCCCCUGAUUGAGAUCUCAAAACCCCCCGAUAUGAUUCAACGCAACCUGCAGGAGCCAAUAACCCCACUACUGUAAUGAUACAUCGUAACUGGGACAUUCAAGAGCUGAAGGACGUUGUGUCUGAAUUGCCUGAUCCCAAAGUCAUCGGUGGGUUAAAAAAUUCAUAGAACAAUUGCAGCAGCUGUAUGAUAUGUAUAAGCCCAAUGUCGCAGAACGGACUCAGGUGCUGCGGAGAAAGCUUCUCACCACAUGGGCAACUGUAAAUCAUGGACAGCAUAACGGAAAUCCGUGGCAGUGGAACGAGGCGUUGCCUCGGGGCCGGGAUGAAGGUCCCUUUAUUACGCAAUGGGAACAUGUUAAAAAUAAUAUUAAGGACAAGUAUAAGAAAGGCACAGACUGGUCUCUUAUCUCGGCUGCCAAACAGAAAAA
Molecule: long non-coding RNA, 1081 nt
Organism: Erpetoichthys calabaricus (reedfish)
Lineage: Eukaryota; Metazoa; Chordata; Cladistia; Polypteriformes; Polypteridae
Exons: 2
Source: RefSeq, a predicted model, not a curated record